CAGCUGGGGGAGCCCUUCGGGGCUGAGAGGACAAGAUGUUGACCCUUACUACCUGAUCCGGACAAUGCCGGCGAAGGGAAGCGAAUCA
RNAcentral lists this non-coding RNA (88 nucleotides) under bovine gut metagenome. RNAcentral describes it as "TPP riboswitch (THI element)". It matches the Rfam family "TPP riboswitch aptamer (THI element)", at positions 8 to 91 of the family's 105-position model. From Rfam's summary of the family: Vitamin B(1) in its active form thiamin pyrophosphate (TPP) is an essential coenzyme that is synthesised by coupling of pyrimidine and thiazole moieties in bacteria. The previously detected thiamin-regulatory element, thi box was extended, resulting in a new, highly conserved RNA secondary structure, the THI element, which is widely distributed in eubacteria and also occurs in some archaea. The record is from RNAcentral.